RNAcentral lists this unclassified non-coding RNA (3162 nucleotides) under Hevea brasiliensis (rubber tree). Lineage: Eukaryota; Viridiplantae; Streptophyta; Magnoliopsida; Malpighiales; Euphorbiaceae. The record is from RNAcentral.
CGGUAAUAGAACGUCCCAAAAAGAAAAAGAAAAGGAACCUUCCCUUCUUUCCUCGUCCUUCGCUAUUUCCAACACACACAAGCAAAAUUAGAUCCUUCAGUUCUUUGAGGAAAGCAGAAAAAUGGCAAUGACAAUUGAAGGUAUUUUUUCUGAAUCUCUUCCUUAUUCAAUCAUUUCUGCUUUCUCUUAUUAUCUACAUUUAGAUCAUCUUUUUUUCCUCCCCUAUUUAUUGUACUUUCCCCCCCUUUAUUUCGUUUAAUUUUGGAGCAGCUGAACCUGUUUAUGAAUUUUUUUGGUCCAAUUACUUAUUUUCAUUUAAAUAUGGGUUUAGAUUUCUAGUUUUCGAGGGUUUUGGACUCGAAAAGUAUGGAAUUUUAGUUUAGUUCACCUAAGACGAUGUGUGUUUUUUCUAUUUAGGCGAAGUUUCUGUUUGUUUCUCGGGAAAGGAGCUAGGGAGCGAUUUACAUAAUAGAAAUUGAAUAGUUGAAAAUGGGAUUUUUUUUUUUAAAUUUUAUUAUUAUUAUUUUACAAUCGAUUGGUUGAUUAGAUCUGUUUAGUUUAAAUUCCUUGGUCUACUUAUGGAACUUCCUCAAAAUAAUGAGGCCUGCCGUUUUAUAUAUAAUUCUGAGUGUACUAACAGUCUAAUUACUUUUAAGGUGGAAACUAUCUGUAAGUUAUGGGAUUAAGGUUUGAUAAUGGACUUUGUUUAUUCAUACUCAAUUAUUUCUUUGGAAACUAAAAUUACUGUAAUGUGGUGUAUAUUCUUUGUUUUUAUUGAUUUUGGGCAUGCAAUAGUGUUUGCCAUCUAAUAUUUGAUCAUAGUAAAGUUGAUGUCUUCUGCUAACUAUUUUUCUUUUGGUGCAUUGCCGCUUUGGUGGGUUUCCUGAAUGGACAUGGACUUUUUGUCUGCAGUGCUUGCUGGGCUUGCUUUUAUGUUUUCAGCUAGCAUUCUACUGCAAAUAUUGGUAUGUUUUCCUAGCCUUUUAUGAGAUUCAUAUGGAAGAGAUUACAUGCUCCUCCCACUUAAAGUGCCUUGAAUUUUGAUCCAGUGACUGUUAUUUCACUUUUCUUGAUGAGUCAAAUCAUCUUAGUUUGUGCUUGUGUUUACUUUGCAUGAUUAGAUUAAGAAACCCAGUUUUGUUCUAAGUAAUCUGACUCCUUCAAAUAAGAUGGUUAAACCGUGGAAUUAAUUUUCAAAAUUUUGAUUGAGCCAAUUAAAUUAUAGCACUUGGAUGGAAUUACUCUUUUCUGAGUUUAUUUAUCAAGAAAUGCAACUAUGUUUUGCAAGUUUUGAGUCAUUUGAAAUCCCUCCUUUGUGAUUUAUUUGUUCUUUUGUUUGGGGACAAGCAAAUUCUUAGGUUUGGGGGCAUUUGAUAUUGUAAAUAUUUAUUUGAUAUUGUAAUAAUGUUUUGUUUAAUUAAUCUGGUCCUUUUUUUAUUAUUUUUGAGUGCUUUGUCAGUAAUUUUCAUCUAUAUUAUUAAUUUUGUUAUCUUUAUUGUUCUUAGUUUAGGUAAGUUUAGUGUUUUUAAUCUAUUUUAUGUGAUAAAUGACCAUGGAGUGAAGAAAAUCUAGUCAAGUGAAGUAAUUGGGGUCACUUGGAAGUGUUGGAGGUCCAAAUUCACCUCCUACCCAUGCAUACUGAAGGAUUUCACAUUCUUGGGCGUGACCCUUGUGAACAAUUGAAUAAAAAAUGGAGAAUCAAAGGAAAAUUGCACCAGGUAUAUUCUCAUGCUUAGGGCGUGAGAUUGCCCUAGGCGCACACCUUGGGCAUGAGUUCUUCAAAGGUUAGAGGCUUAGGAGAGAGACAGAUAGGCACCAGAACAGUUUUUACUUAGAUUCGAGCAGCUCAUUCUCGCCCAUUCUUCACUUCUAAGGUCUUGAACACUUUCUAGAAUCCAUUUUUUGAGGAGAAAUCAAGCUUUGAAGGGAAUUUAAUGGUAUUCAAACAUAACAAUAACAAAUGGGUUUCUAAAACAAAAAUUAUGGAAAAUAAAAGAGAAGAAAGAAACUCUAAGGAGCUUAAACCUUGAUCUAGCUCCAAUCUCCCCAAAAUUUCUUCUUCAAAAACCUUGCUCUGGCUCGAAGAUGUCUUUUCUUAGAGUCAAGAAUAAGUGAAAAUGAGUUGCUAGAAUCAAGGAAAAACCAUUCUGAUACCUCCUCAUCUGCUGGUCCACGUGUGAAGGUCGUUAAGGUGGAGAAAAUGCCCUUUUGGAAGACUGUGGAUCUGGUGGAUAAAUGUUUAAUUUCUCAUUUUUCCUUCAAACCACUCACAAGGAUCAUGCAGCGGUAGUGAAAUUAUCUUUCCUGCAUGACUUGGGCGUGAAUUUUGUGUCCUAAAGACUUCCCAAUUGACCUCAAAUGCUUCCUUAACUCAAUUUCCUUCAAUUUAUGGCCAUUUUUCACCUAGAACAAAGUAAAAUCAACAAAAAUAAACUUAGAACAAUCACAUUAACAAGAUUACUAAUAAAAAAAAUAAAUAAAACAUAAAGAGACUCAAAAUUGUUAAAAACCAACAAAAUUAACUAAAAUAAGUACUAUAUUUACAUCACAUAUCCUUAUGCUAGGAAUAAACAUAGGAAGAUUGGUGCUGUUAAAUUUUAUUUUUAAAAAGCUUAUAAUUGUGCAAAUUAAAACUUCCUGAUGGGAUUAUGGAUAAGAAGAGAUUUGUUAGAGUAAAUAGAUUAGAUGAUGUUGAUCUUCUGAGGAAAACUGGAUUCUGCGGGUUUGGUGGUUGAUGAAGCUGUUAAUGAUGAUAAGAAUAAACAUAGGAAGGGUGGUGCUGUUAAAUUGACUUUUGAUAUGGCUUAUGAUUGUGCAAAUUAAAAAUUCCUGAUGGUAUUAUGGAUAAGAGAGAUGGAAGAGAGAUUUGAAUUUAGAGGAAAUAGAUUAAUUGUUGUUUAUCUUCCGAGGAAAACUGGAUUUUGCUGGCAUGUUUGGUGGCAUUUUUGAGAACCAAUUUAGUUAUUUUGCAAGGUUGAAAGGCACAAAGUCAAGGCUACCUGUGUUAAUUUUUUUUUUCUAUUUCUAGUGUCAAUUGAAGGAGGAUGCUUCUCCUGAUUUUAUUCUCUGCACUCCUGAUUUAGAAAUUGUAUUCCAUGUAAAAUUAGGAAAUUAGUGUUUCAUUUAUUUAGGAAAUCCAUUACUAUUAUUAUUAUAUUUAAG